GCCCCCGUAGCUCAGUGGAUAGAGCAGCGGUGUCGCAAGUUCAAUUCUUGCCGGGGGUG
This 59-nucleotide transfer RNA is filed under the name Sorangium cellulosum. RNAcentral's name for it is "tRNA-OTHER". It matches the Rfam family "tRNA". Rfam says of the family: Transfer RNA (tRNA) molecules are approximately 80 nucleotides in length. Their secondary structure includes four short double-helical elements and three loops (D, anti-codon, and T loops). Further hydrogen bonds mediate the characteristic L-shaped molecular structure. tRNAs have two regions of fundamental functional importance: the anti-codon, which is responsible for specific mRNA codon recognition, and the 3' end, to which the tRNAs corresponding amino acid is attached (by aminoacyl-tRNA synthetases). tRNAs cope with the degeneracy of the genetic code in two manners: having more than one tRNA (with a specific anti-codon) for a particular amino acid; and 'wobble' base-pairing, i.e. permitting non-standard base-pairing at the 3rd anti-codon position. Lineage: Bacteria; Pseudomonadati; Myxococcota; Polyangiales; Polyangiaceae. The record is from RNAcentral.